GUUUGAUCAUGGCUCAGGAUGAACGCUAGCGGGAGGCUUAAUACAUGCAAGUUGAGCGGUAACCGGCUUAUAGCAAUAUAAGUUGGCUAGAGCGGCGCACGGGUGAGUAACGCGUACAUAACCUACCCUAUACAGGGGGAUAGCCUUGGGAAACUGAGAUUAAUACCCAAUAGCAUUGCGGUGUCGCCUGACACUGCAAUUAAAGUUGCGGCGGUAUAGGAUGGGUGUGCGUCUGAUUAGCUAGUUGGUAGGGUAACGGCCUACCAAGGCGAUGAUCAGUAGGGGGCGUGAGAGCGUGGACCCCCACACGGGUACUGAGACACGGACCCGACUCCUACGGGGGGCAGCAGUAAGGAAUAUUGGUCAAUGGAGGAAACUCUGAACCAGCCAUCCCGCGUGAAGGAUGAAGGGGCUCUGCCUUGUAAACUUCUUUUGUCUGGGGCGAAAAAGCUCGAUUUGUCGAGAACUGACGGUACCAGAAGAAUAAGCACCGGCUAACUCCGUGCCAGCAGCCGCGGUAAUACGGAGGGUGCAAGCGUUAUCCGGAAUCACUGGGUUUAAAGGGUGCGUAGGCGGCUUAGUAGGUCAGUGGUGAAAGGCUGUGGCUUAACCAUGGAAUUGCCAUUGAUACUGCUGAGCUUGAAUAAGGUUGAGGUUGGCGGAAUGUGUAAUGUAGCGGUGAAAUGCUUAGAUAUUACACAGAACACCGAUUGCGAAGGCAGCUUGCUGGACCAUUACUGACGCUGAUGCACGAAAGCGUGGGGAUCGAACAGGAUUAGAUACCCUGGUAGUCCACGCCGUAAACGAUGAUCACUCGCUGUUAGCGAUACACUGUUAGCGGCUAAGCAAAAGCAUUAAGUGAUCCACCUGGGGAGUACGG
This 880-nucleotide ribosomal RNA is filed under the name uncultured bacterium. Its description in RNAcentral is "bacterial SSU rRNA". It matches the Rfam family "Bacterial small subunit ribosomal RNA", at positions 11 to 885 of the family's 1533-position model. The record is from RNAcentral.